GAUCCUCUUGGGAGAGUAUUUUCAGUAAAAGCCCGGAGGUGGUGACUCCUUUGCAGCUCCAGUGUUGCCAGCGCCUGGUGGAGCUUUGUAAACAGUGCCUGCUAGUGGUUUACAAAUAUGCAGCUGAUUCAAGAGGAUCACUCUCAGGCAUUGGUACCGAUUGGGGUAAUUCCAGGUAUUUACUACCAGGAAGUACACAAUUCUUCUUGAGAACACCAACAUACAACUUGAAAUACAGUUCACCUGGAAUGGCUCGCUCCAAUGUGUUGUUUACAUCCCGAUAUGGCCAUUUGUGAAACAGAAGGGAAGAUCGCAAUGAGUUAUGCAUAAUAGCAAUUAUUAUCUUCCCAUUUUAACAUGGCAAAGACAGUGACCAUUAAGUACUGUUUAUGUAUAUAUGACAUAUAUAUGUGGGAGAAUAUAUACACACAUGCACUCAAAUAACAUAUAUAUUUAUUAUAAUAUAUGAAAAAGAAUUAGCAGGAAACUGGAUAUAAGAUUUAACCUUUCUGGAAAUGUAAUAAACCAUGUUAAAACUGUUUACACAAAUAUGUGAAUGUCUAGAAUUUGCUAGGUUUAUAAUUAAUACCUUCCUACUAGAAAUGUUAUUUUUGCUGCAGAGUAUAUAAAAGAAUUGAUCUUGAAGAUCCCAUUACAAGUGUUAAAUUAUUUUCUAGAUAACAUGUCUUUUGACUUGAAAAAGCAGUAAUAGUAAAUUACCUUAUUAAUUCUCCUAUAUAUAGUAGCUAUUUAAAAUGGAAAAAAAAAUUGGAAGCCUGGUGUUGCUUGACGGUAGGAUUAAGUAUAAGGUGGGUUUGUCAUUACUAUGGCACACUGUAAAGUACUAUAAAAAUUCCAACCCGAUACUCUAACAUUUUUAUUCCUCUAUGUGGAAAUUUAGCUACCUGUGAAAAUGAUAAUGUACAUUUUCAGUAAGGAUCAUAUUAUGAUCUAAAAUGGAAGACAAUCCAGUGGGUUAAAAAUAAAAUAUACUAGCUUGUAUUUUUACUUUUCAUCAGGAGUCACAAAAAGAGAACGGAAAAUAAUGGUUAAUGGUGACAUCUUACCACAUGAUUUUUCUAUCUCUUACCACUGAACUUUUAUUUGGAAAGUGUGUCUCUGAUGGGUGCAUAUGGUUAAAUACAAUCCCUUCUGUUCUUCAGAAGUGGAAGAGCUGAAAUUUUAAACUUACUUUAAUGUUACAAAAUAAUGUGUCACUCUUAUAAGUUUCUCAGUGUUGAGACCAACUUACAUUGCAAACUCUAAUACAGAGUUUCAUAUUUCAUCAUAGAAAUUAAUCUAAACUAUUUCAAAUAGAAGAUUCUGAUUAGUAGAUAUUAUUAGGCAUGGAUGUGCCCUUGAGAAUUUUAAAAAAUAAAAAUAUAGUAUGAAAUUUUCUUCUUGUCCCAAGUUAUUAUGCAUAAGUUUCAUAGCAGCUUAUUUCCUUUUACAGUUUUGAAAGCAAUGUGUGAGGUUUCAGUUUUCUAUACAAAUAUAAACAGCAGUAGGAUAAAUAGCCAUAGAAAUUACAAUAUUGACCUUUAAGUUUAUUAAACGUCACUCAAUAAUUUUAAUUUCUCAGAGAUGCUAAUUAUUUGCAAAAUUCAUGAAUGUUUUACCUCCUUUUACUAUCCUGAUAGCUAUUUCCAGUAAAUCAAGAAAUGGGCCCAAAGCAGAAGGAGAACUGAAAGAGGCAAAGUGGCCUGCUUUAAUUCACAAGCUGGAUAACUGGCAAGCCAAAGUUGUAAGUUAGAUACAUUUUACAUUUAAAGCCAUGUUCUGCAGUUGUAUUGGGAUAAAACAGAUUCUUCCCUAAAUUACCUCCAGCUACUUGAUUCUUUAUGAAUAUGGGAGUAUCCUUACUCUAAUGGAUACUUUUCCUUGCUAAUUGCAUCCCAAAGAAGAGUUUGUUAUUACCUUUGUAGAGAAAGAGAGUAAGGAUGUUAGGAUGAAGGAAAUUACAGUGUAGCUCUGAGUGUUUAUGAUAUCAUCUUGUGAAUUCUUAAGUAUGUUUAGAAUUUUUUGAUAAAUAAUGCAAAUAGUUGGGGUAUUAACAAAAUCGUUAUAAAAAUGAUCAGUGAGUAGGCCUUUUCCUGGAGCAAUUUUAGUCAUUUUUCUUUUAAAUUCAUGAAUGAGACAGAAUUUAAAGUGUCUGGUAUAUGAUAUUGACCCAGUUUGUUGACCACUCACUUGCAUUUGCUUAAAUCAAAGUGAUGACUUAAUUUGCUAGAGUGAAUAUUUUGAAAAUUCUUUUCUUGGUUGUACAAAAGUGAAAUUUUAAUUCAAAGGGAAAAAAAAUGCCCAAUAUACUUCCCCCUAGAGGGAAAAAAACAUACAAAAAAAGAGUAAAUUUAAAUGAUUUAAAUGUAAGAAACUACCCAGUUACCAUGUGAGCAAACUUCAUUCUUCUAGCUACUUAGGCCUGGCUUUUUUUGAGUACUAGAAUUUUAUUUUCCCCCAUUUGCCUAUUUAUACUGAUCUAGUCUGAUAUGAUGAAGUUGUGAAUAAAAGUCCUGUACUCAUUAUUUAUGUAUACUACCUGGUAUGCUGUGGAUGAUGGUUGUGGUGAUGCUUAUUCCCUAAUGAGAAACUAAGAAGAGAAGAUACGGUAAUAAACUGUGGAAGUCUCUAGAGGCCAUAGAAAUGUUUUAGAGGUAUAAAAUAUUCCUUAGUUUUUAUUAUAAAUUUUUUAUUCAUAGAGUUAAAAGCUAUCAGUAUAAGUGAUAGUCUGACUUUCUCUUCCAGGAGGGAAAUAACUUUAUCUGAAAAACUCCAGAAGCUAUUCAAUCUUACCAGGAGAUUUUAAUAGGGAAUUUGGUUUACUUACAGUGAAAGCACAUUUUCAUUCUGUUACACCCUGCUCAUUCUGUAACUAAUGCUUUCCAGAACUGCAUAUGAUUAUAAUGAUUUCCAGAAUUGUAUAAAAAGUAAUCUUUUAAUGUUUAAGUUAUCAUUUAUGAACAUAGCAUGAGAUUACAGCUUAGUUUUUGCUUUAAUAAUCCAACAUUGUAAAUGUUACCAUUUGCUUUCUGUAUUCUGUUGAAGGAGCUAUUGUGACUCAUAUUAUGAUUAUUAGCAACAAAUUUUACUUUACCUUGCAUGUGUAAAAAUGAAAUUAUAACAGGAUCAAAUAUAGAAAUGGCAAUGGUUGUCUCUGUCAGAUGCAAAGAUCUGUACAUAUUUUUUCAUAUAUCUCAACUAGGUCUAAAUAUUCAAAACUUGUCUAUUAAUUCCUUUACCCCAAACUAAAAUGAACUAAACUCAAGCAAAAAGCCCCAAUCUUCUCAUCUAAUGUUUACACAGAGCUAGAUGACAGUGGCUUCUAGACAUCAAGAAAAGGAUUUCAUUCUAAUUCUGUUUUUAAUGAUUAUAGAAUUUUGUUAUGUAACUCAAAAUUUCACAUCUUAAUAUAAUUUAAUCCAAAUGCUUUCUUUCUUCUUUAGCAUGUCAAAGUCAUCCCAUUAAAAAAUUCUCUUUAAACCUAAACAUCUAUAUUACUUGACUGUUCAAAAGUACCAAAAAAAUUUGCAUAAAAUCUAUUAUUUCUAGUUUUCUAUAAAGCACUAUUUUUUUCUAAAAUGUAUAUUCUUUAAAAAAUAAUAAGUAUCUUGAGAAGAGUGAAAAAACAUACCUUCCUUUUCUUUUCUGUAAUGCUAUUUUCCAUUUCGAGUCUUAGUUUAUUUGGUUCUAAGGGUUAAACAAUAAAAAAAGUAUAAUUACAACUAGCUGUGUCGCUGUGACCUGAUGAUUUUUGAAAAUUUCUUUUCUUUUUAAAUGGAGAAUUUUAAGCUUUAAGGACUUAGUUAUCUAAUUAUUUUGUUCUAAUUCUACUUACAAAUAAAUUAAAAUUUGGAAGUAUAUUGAUGAUCAAAAUUUUAUUCCUGACACUGUUUUUUUCUUUUUCUUUUCUUCUUCUUUUUUUAAACUUUAAGUUCCCUUUGAAGUUUUGACUUUGCGUGGACAAAGUCAAGAAAAGAGAAAUCCUGCCUUUUAAACAUUGGUUUAUGGUGGUGUAUUUUUGCCUCAGCAACAAUAAAACUUAGAUAAAAUGUGUUAUUGAAUCAAGUUCAGUUUUUCUGCUCAGAUAUUUAAGAACAAUGUUGUAGUUUCAGUAUCUAAAAAAAAAGAGCAUUAAUUUUCUGGAUCCAUAUGAAUCAAGAUAUAUGACUAUGAAUAACAGGCUUGUGACCAAAAAAUUGUAAUAUUAAAACUUAUUGCACACCUUGAGAUUGCUGCCUUUUUUUGGUAUUUUUUUUUUUUUUGCCUUGUCACGAGUGGGUAAAUGGAAUAGUGAAGGAAAAAUAUUCAGGUGACACAUUUUGCAUUACCUAGGCUGUAUUACCUAAAAGAGCUACAUAAAUCUUUUAUUUUAUCCCCACCUGCUAACUUGAAAACUUUUGGUAAAAUCAUCAUUCAAUAAGCUAAUAUUUUCUAAAUUAAUAAGUCUUACAAAAGUAAUCAGAUAAUACUGAUAUUUCUCUUUCAAAGGCUAACAAUGACAGUCCUUGGUCCUGAGCUGAUUGGUUCAUACGUAACUACUGUACAUGUUACAACAUUGAAUAUUAAUAGAUUAGCUGAAGAUUCUGGGUUUGAAGAUGAGCUUGAAAGCAAUACAUUUGCUACCAUGAAUCAUGACUCAAAUUAUCCCCAUGUGUUUUACUAUCUGUAUAUGAAUGCAAAUGUUGUUACAGAAAAUAUGCUUGAAAUGUCAACACAAUGUGCAAUUAGUAUUGCAUUGUCAUGCUUCAGCAUGUGAUAUCUGUGCAGUGGAAAUUAUUUCAAUUACUCAGAUAUGUUACCAUAAUAAAAAAAGUAUUUAACAUAAGAAAGCUA
Molecule: long non-coding RNA, 4833 nt
Filed under: Sus scrofa (pig)
Lineage: Eukaryota; Metazoa; Chordata; Mammalia; Artiodactyla; Suidae
Description: lncRNA (ENSSSCG00060038598.1)
Source: RNAcentral